GAAACUCAGACCCUGGGAGUAGAGAGCCUGGCAGAAAAGGUGAAGACCUGGACCUGGGCACCUCGCUGAGCGACCCGGGCACCUCCCUGAGUGAUCUGGGCACCUCGCUGAGCUCAAUAGUUGAGAAGUUUGAUUGUAUGCAUAUGAUUGGCAGCAUCUUCUGGUGAACAUGGCUUCAGAG
Talpa occidentalis (Iberian mole) is the source of this 181-nucleotide long non-coding RNA. RefSeq lists it as uncharacterized. Lineage: Eukaryota; Metazoa; Chordata; Mammalia; Eulipotyphla; Talpidae. The transcript has 4 exons. The record is from RefSeq and is a predicted model, not a curated record.